AACGAGAAAGGACUUUUCGGAGUCUGAGUACAGUGGCGCACGGGUGAGUGACGCGUGAAUUACCUACCCUUGAGAGGGGGACAACUCUCCGAAAGGAGAGCUAAUACCGCAUAUUGCACUUCGGUGUGAAAGUCGGGGACCUUCGGGGCCUGGCGCUUGAAGAGGGUUCGCGUACGAUUAGCUUGUUGGCGGGUAAUGGCCCACCAAGGCUACGAUCGUUAACUGGUCUGAGAGGAUGAUCAGUCACAAUGGAACUGAGACACGGUCCAUACUCC
This 275-nucleotide ribosomal RNA is filed under the name uncultured bacterium. RNAcentral describes it as "partial 16S ribosomal RNA". It matches the Rfam family "Bacterial small subunit ribosomal RNA", at positions 65 to 339 of the family's 1533-position model. The record is from RNAcentral.